Long non-coding RNA from Cyprinus carpio (common carp), 1058 nucleotides. RefSeq lists it as uncharacterized. The transcript is spliced from 3 exons. The record is from RefSeq and is a predicted model, not a curated record. NCBI's taxonomy places the organism in Eukaryota, Metazoa, Chordata, Actinopteri, Cypriniformes, Cyprinidae.
GAUGUUUCAGAUACAGCAAAAACAGCUGCUUCUCUAAACAAAGUGAGUAUCAAGUUAACUAAAAUUAGGCAAAAAAAACCCUCUCUAAAACUUGUGAUGACUGCAUGAAUAUCAAAGUUUGAAAUGAUGUCAGACGAGCUGCAUUAGUCACAGUAGUGAGUAUUACUUUUCCACCUGAUAUGCUGACUAUAUGUAAAAUGCCAUUGGUUUGUGUGGCUGGGAUGGUUCAUCUCUGACUGUUCAAACCUCUGAGUCACCACAAGUGGAGAACAAAGGAGGUACUUCUCAUUGAUUUCAUCUCACUUUUAGAGUCCCACAUGGUUUUCACACAGGCUGAGGAGCACAAAGCUGUCACGGCCGCCACCGCCAACCUGCCGAGAGCGAUCGAUAGAUCAUCGUAACGGCAAACCGAUGAGCGGACGGUCGUUUUGCGUGCAACCCACCACAUGUAGCGCUCCGGGAUCGCCUGCAGUGAGAUUCAAGCAGAGCGUGUGAAAACGAGCGAUGGAGAGGCUCCAUGGGGCCCGUACGGGGACGGUAGCCCACGGACAGGAGGCACAAGCUGUUCCAGACUGGGAGACAGGUGGCGCUGGGUUCACACAGCGGGCCGUGGGUGUGUGUCCUCCUCCAGCCCCCGCCCACUCCACGCUGAUGUCACUGACUCACCCGGACUGAUGCUCCCAUCAUGGGAAAAAGUCGAAAACAACAGAUGAGUGCAUUGGGCUUCUGUCUGAGCGGGUUCAACCAGGACACGUUCACUUCGAUCUGAAUCCUAGUGCGCUCCCUCUGUAGACAGCGUUUUAAGAUGUCAUCUUAGCUGUGCGUGUAUCCCAGAAUGCACUGCGAUGAGCUCCGUGAACAAGAAGUCUAAAGUCUAUUUGCUUAGCAGUACCAAGAUUGAAUUAAUGCAGAAAGUACAUCAGGAGAUACAAUUGUAAAUAAAAGCGUGAAUACAAAACAAAUAUUCAAAACAUAAUCAAGAGUAUAACAAAUAAUAAUAUAUACAUAUACAAACACGUCCAUACACGCACAUAAGCAUACAUAUAAAUACAUAUUCA